Molecule: ribosomal RNA, 454 nt
Filed under: uncultured Prevotella sp.
Lineage: Bacteria; Pseudomonadati; Bacteroidota; Bacteroidia; Bacteroidales; Prevotellaceae
Description: partial 16S ribosomal RNA
Rfam family: Bacterial small subunit ribosomal RNA
Source: RNAcentral
ACGGGAGGCAGCAGUGAGGAAUAUUGGUCAAUGGACGAGAGUCUGAACCAGCCAAGUAGCGUGCAGGAUGACGGCCCUAUGGGUUGUAAACUGCUUUUGUACGGGAAUAAAGUGACCUACGUGUAGGUUUUUGCAUGUACCGUAAGAAUAAGGACCGGCUAAUUCCGUGCCAGCAGCCGCGGUAAUACGGAAGGUCCGGGCGUUAUCCGGAUUUAUUGGGUUUAAAGGGUGCGCAGGCGGCACGUUAAGUCAGCGGUGAAAUGUCGGGGCUCAACCCGGGCACUGCCGUUGAAACUGGCGAGCUUGAGUACGGAUGAAGUCGGCGGAAUGUGAUGUGUAGCGGUGAAAUGCUUAGAUAUGUCACAGAACACCGAUUGCGAAGGCAGCUGACUAAUCCGCAACUGACGCUCAGGCACGAAAGCGUGGGGAUCGAACAGGAUUAGAUACCCUGGUA